Long non-coding RNA from Salvelinus sp. IW2-2015, 1554 nucleotides. RefSeq lists it as uncharacterized. Lineage: Eukaryota; Metazoa; Chordata; Actinopteri; Salmoniformes; Salmonidae. The record is from RefSeq and is a predicted model, not a curated record.
CAUUUGUCCCGGCCCAGAACUGCACACUGCAGUCAGGGGUAUUUGUUAUUUGUAGAUCAGCGUUUAAAGUGGGCAGAGAAAACGGUAGCCGAGUACCAGGAAGAGAAAGAUCGGUUACGAAGAAUGCUGCGGAUCACGCCAGAUAAACUGUAGAAUCGACCCCCUCCAGUCCUCUCUCACUGUUUCUGAAUAGGAGAUUCCCUCUGAGCAGCAGCACUGUAAGCAUGAGUGUAGCUCCAGUCUGGGGCAGGAAUAACCAAAGCCCACACAGAUUAAAGAGGAACUCGGGACCAGUCAGGAGGAAGAGCAGCUUCAAGUCCUGGAGCUUGAUAUCACUCCUUCCUGUGUGAAAAGUGAAUGUGAUCAAGAGGACCCACUUCAGUCCUUGACUCUUCCCCAAACUCAGACUGUGGAGAACAGAGAGAGUGACUCUAAACCAGUGGAUCUCAAACCUUUUGGCACUGUGACCAACCUAAAGGGUCUCAACAUUCCCUGUGAACCUCCAGAUAAUCAAAACAAUACCUCCAGCCACCGCUCAUCCUUAAGCAGCGACCCAGUAGGACUUGACAGAAGCCCACCAUUGCAUCCUAGCCCACUAUUGGAUCCCAGCUCCCCCAAAGUAAGAAAACUGGACAAAAACGGAAAGAAAUUAGGGCUAAGAGAUCUUCUGUCAGAAGAUGGGAGUAAAAAGGCAGGAUGUGGACAACACUUUUAGGAAAGCAAAGCAACCUUGAGUCAUUCAUACUGUGAGUUUCAGAUGAAUAGCUGUGUGUGAUGGAUUUACUUUUGUAAAAUGUUCUAUGUGAAUAAAGUUUGAUUUGAUUUGAAUGAUGAGGUAAUGAUCAAACAAUAAUACACACUAUUAUGGGAAUCAGGUCUGCUGUUAAAAGUCUGUUGAUGUCUUCAAGCCAUAAGAAACUGCAAUUCCUGGUGGUUUGUUUUUGGAAUGUUUCAAGAGAGAAUAGUGUGAUUGAUGUUAUUGAUUAAAAUUUUUUUUAAGUGCUUUCCAGAAAAGAUGUCCUUGCAUUUGUCCUAUGGUAUUUCUCAUAUAGUUUGAGCAAAUGCUGCUCAUUCAUGAUAUUGUUUAUUUUGGGAAGUAAUGAUUAACAGUCGACUCCUGAUAAGUGCAUUGUGUAUGAGCGCAUACAGUGUUUUAAGUGCACUGCAGUGUUUUUCCAGUCAAUACUAUUCAAUGCUAUUCUUCCUUUAUGUUGUAGUUAUGACUGGUUCCUGUACCUUGCAGAAAAAACCCAUCCACAUGGGGCACUGUGUUAUGUUUAUGGGCUCGCCACCGGCUGACGCAAACAGAAGAAGAAGACAAUGCAGAAGUAAAAGUCAAAGAUUUUUUUUUUUAAAGAGGGUUUUUGUUUGUGACCACCAUUCUUUCCUCGUUGACGAAGGCAUACUAGCUGAAUUCCCAACUCUCAGUCGACUGAAACGUGUUUGGGGGCUGCCACAUUCGCUCCAAGCUGUUGCAGUUAUCAAUAAUCAUCUGUGUUUCAAUGCGUUUUCCAAUUCAGUUCAUGCAAUAAAUGAUCAUCACAUUACUAAUUA